GCGCCUGUAGCUCAGGGGAUAGAGCACCGGUUUCCUAAACCGGGUGUCGGAGGUUCAAAUCCUUCCAGGCGCG
RNAcentral lists this transfer RNA (73 nucleotides) under Rubrobacter sp. RNAcentral's name for it is "tRNA-Arg". It matches the Rfam family "tRNA". Rfam says of the family: Transfer RNA (tRNA) molecules are approximately 80 nucleotides in length. Their secondary structure includes four short double-helical elements and three loops (D, anti-codon, and T loops). The record is from RNAcentral. Lineage: Bacteria; Bacillati; Actinomycetota; Rubrobacteria; Rubrobacterales; Rubrobacteraceae. RNAcentral also lists the same sequence under 3 other names.